AGCCAAUAGAUACCCAGGUAGUCCACGCCCUAAACGAUGUCUACUAGUUGUUGGUGGAGUAAAAUCCAUGAGUAAACGCAGCUAACGCGUGAAGUAGACCGCCUGGGGAGUACGGUCGCAAGAUUAAAACUCAAAGGAAUUGACGGGGGCCCGCACAAGCGGUGGAUUAUGUGGAUUAAUUCGAUGCAACGCGAAAAACCUUACCUGGCCUUGACAUGCCACUAACGAAGCAGAGAUGCAUUAGGUGCCCGUAAGGGAAAGUGGACACAGGUGCUGCGUGGCUGUCGUCAGCUCGUGUCGUGAGAUGUUGGGUUAAGUCCCGCAACGAGCGCAACCCUUGCCAUUAAUUGCCAUCAUUUAGUUGGGCACUUUAAUGGGACUGCCGGUGACAAACCGGAGGAAGGUGGGGAUGACGUCAAGUCCUCAUGGCCCUUAUGGCCAGGGCUUCACACGUAAUACAAUGGUCGGUACAGAGAGUUGCCAACCCGCGAGGGGAGCUAAUCUCAGAAAGCCGAUCGUAGUCCGGAUUGUUCUCUGC
RNAcentral lists this ribosomal RNA (538 nucleotides) under uncultured bacterium. RNAcentral describes it as "bacterial SSU rRNA". It matches the Rfam family "Bacterial small subunit ribosomal RNA", at positions 767 to 1308 of the family's 1533-position model. The record is from RNAcentral.